This 21-nucleotide microRNA is filed under the name Zea mays. Its description in RNAcentral is "zma-miR169p-3p". Its record names the gene zma-miR169p-3p. The record is from miRBase by way of RNAcentral. Lineage: Eukaryota; Viridiplantae; Streptophyta; Magnoliopsida; Poales; Poaceae.
GGCAAGUCAUCUGGGGCUACG